CUCGGUAUCUCUUCUCUUCCUCCGUCUCCCGACGACGGCGCCUUCCGCGGUUCUUCUCCCACCCUCCGGGGGAGGGCGCGCACCCGGCCUCCGCCGCCGACGCGGCCGACCUCCCUCCGGCCCUGGCCAAGCCGGAGCGCGAGGUGUCGGCGACGAGGGUUCCCUGACCACCCUGGCGAACAGGACAGGACGGAGGCGAGAAUCAAAGGCACGGCCAGAAAGAGGAGUUUGAGGUGUGGGACUGCUAUGCCCCGGCACAGCCAGCUGGACUGACUGACUGCCCUCCUUCUCGAGGCGGGACGCAAUCACGCAUACAAACAAAAGACUACCUCUUUCCAGCAGAAGAAGAUGGCCCUUCCUUCCUCUUCCUCUUGACUCACAGGUGGUACUCUAUCUACCUGCUUCCCAGCCCACCUGAGCCACCCCCCCCCCCCUUCACUUUACGCUCAAUUACAAUAAAUAAAUGAAUGACUACGAA
Molecule: long non-coding RNA, 478 nt
Organism: Meriones unguiculatus (Mongolian gerbil)
Lineage: Eukaryota; Metazoa; Chordata; Mammalia; Rodentia; Muridae
Exons: 2
Source: RefSeq, a predicted model, not a curated record